This 253-nucleotide ribosomal RNA is filed under the name uncultured bacterium. Its description in RNAcentral is "partial 16S ribosomal RNA". It matches the Rfam family "Bacterial small subunit ribosomal RNA", at positions 524 to 776 of the family's 1533-position model. The record is from RNAcentral.
UACAGAGGGGGCAAGCGUUAAUCGGAAUUACUGGGCGUAAAGCGCACGUAGUCGGCUUUGCAAGUCGGGUGUGAAAUCCCCGGGCUCAACCUGGGAACUGCAUCCGAGACUGCAUUGCUAGAGUAUGGGAGAGGGAAGCGGAAUUUCUGGUGUAGCAGUGAAAUGCGUAGAUAUCAGAAGGAACAUCAGUGGCGAAGGCGGCUUCCUGGACCAAUACUGACGAUCAGGUGCGAAAGCGUGGGGAGCAAACAGG